Molecule: ribosomal RNA, 631 nt
Filed under: uncultured Pseudomonadota bacterium
Lineage: Bacteria; Pseudomonadati; Pseudomonadota
Description: bacterial SSU rRNA
Rfam family: Bacterial small subunit ribosomal RNA
Source: RNAcentral
GCAAGUCGAACGGUAACAGGAAGCAGCUGGCUGCUCCGCUGACGAGUGGCGGACGGGUGAGUAAUGUCUGGGAAACUGCCUGAUGGAGGGGGAUAACUACUGGAAACGGUAGCUAAUACCGCAUAAUGUCGCAAGACCAAAGAGGGGGACCUUCGGGCCUCUUGCCAUCGGAUGUGCCCAGAUGGGAUUAGCUAGUAAGUGGGGUAACGGCUCACCUAGGCGACGAUCCCUAGCUGGUCUGAGAGGAUGACCAGCCACACUGGAACUGAGACACGGUCCAGACUCCUACGGGAGGCAGCAGUGGGGAAUAUUGCACAAUGGGCGCAAGCCUGAUGCAGCCAUGCCGCGUGUAUGAAGAAGGCCUUCGGGUUGUAAAGUACUUUCAGCGGGGAGGAAGGCGAUAAGGUUAAUAACCUUGUCGAUUGACGUUACCCGCAGAAGAAGCACCGGCUAACUCCGUGCCAGCAGCCGCGGUAAUACGGAGGGUGCAAGCGUUAAUCGGAAUUACUGGGCGUAAAGCGCACGCAGGCGGUCUGUCAAGUCGGAUGUGAAAUCCCCGGGCUCAACCUGGGAACUGCAUUCGAAACUGGCAGGCUAGAGUCUUGUAGAGGGGGGUAGAAUUCCAGGUGUA